UCGUCAUUAAAUAAUAAUAAUAAAAAAUUUAUACGCCAAAAUUUCUUAUUUAUUUUAUAUAGGAAAUCUCGGGUUAUUACAUUCACCCUCCCUUAUAAGGAUUCCGUCCCCGGAAUCACCGCUUUAAAACUCAUAUGCCUAAGGGUACAUAGCAUAUAAUCAUUGCACGUAGACCUCGAUCAUACUUGAUCGAACUGAUCUUUAAUUAUUCUUCAUAACACUUGUUUAUCCAAUUGAGCAGAAAUUUGAAUUCUAAAAGAACUCAAAAUUUCUUUAUAAAAAUAAUUUAGUAUAUAUGCAGGAAAAUCAUAUAAGAUAUAUAAGUUAUUCAAAUAGCACCUGGAGUUCUGUUUCCAGCUGCCACCGUAUCCUGGACCGUCAUGUUGUAGACCCUCGGAGUUGGGUUGUUUGUUGAAAUUUGUUUCGUUGUCGCCUAUAUCUUGAUGUCAUUUCUCGUAUUCGCAUUCCUUAUCUCACUUCUCCUUCUUUAAUAAUCUUUCACCUUAUACUCCAUUGAUUCACAAAUAAAACAUUC
This 535-nucleotide long non-coding RNA is filed under the name Panax ginseng (ginseng). RNAcentral describes it as "long non-coding RNA (PGIN_LNC017062)". The record is from RNAcentral. Lineage: Eukaryota; Viridiplantae; Streptophyta; Magnoliopsida; Apiales; Araliaceae.